GAGGAUGAAGAUUUCAUAUUUGUCGCCCCAGUCUUAGGAUCGAUCUCUGCUGAUUGACAUACUUCUGAAGC
Molecule: small nucleolar RNA, 71 nt
Filed under: Triticum aestivum (bread wheat)
Lineage: Eukaryota; Viridiplantae; Streptophyta; Magnoliopsida; Poales; Poaceae
Description: Small nucleolar RNA U31b
Rfam family: Small nucleolar RNA U31b
Source: Rfam by way of RNAcentral